Molecule: ribosomal RNA, 253 nt
Filed under: uncultured bacterium
Lineage: Bacteria
Description: partial 16S ribosomal RNA
Rfam family: Bacterial small subunit ribosomal RNA
Source: RNAcentral
UACGAAGGGUGCAAGCGUUAAUCGGAAUUACUGGGCGUAAAGCGUGCGUAGGCGGUUUGUUAAGUCUGCUGUGAAAUCCCCGGGCUCAACCUGGGAAUGGCAGUGGAUACUGGCAAGCUAGAGUGUGUCAGAGGAUGGUGGAAUUCCCGGUGUAGCGGUGAAAUGCGUAGAGAUCGGGAGGAACAUCAGUGGCGAAGGCGGCCAUCUGGGACAACACUGACGCUGAGGAGCGAAAGCAUGGGGAGCGAACAGG